RNAcentral lists this ribosomal RNA (548 nucleotides) under uncultured bacterium. Its description in RNAcentral is "bacterial SSU rRNA". It matches the Rfam family "Bacterial small subunit ribosomal RNA", at positions 356 to 896 of the family's 1533-position model. The record is from RNAcentral.
GGGGAAUUUUGGACAAUGGGCGCAAGCCUGAUCCAGCCAUGCCGCGUGUCUGAAGAAGGCCUUCGGGUUGUAAAGGACCUUUGUCAGGGAAGAAAAGGCUGUUGCCAAUAUCGACAGCUGAUGACGGUACCUGAAGAAUAAGCACCGGCUAACUACGUGCCAGCAGCCGCGGUAAUACGUAGGGUGCGAGCGUUAAUCGGAAUUACUGGGCGUAAAGCGAGCGCAGACGGUUACUUAAGCAGGAUGUGAAAUCCCCGGGCUCAACCUGGGAACUGCGUUCUGAACUGGGUAACUAGAGUGUGUCAGAGGGAGGUAGAAUUCCACGUGUAGCAGUGAAAUGCGUAGAGAUGUGGAGGAAUACCGAUGGCGAAGGCAGCCUCCUGGGAUAACACUGACGUUCAUGCUCGAAAGCGUGGGUAGCAAACAGGAUUAGAUACCCUGGUAGUCCACGCCCUAAACGAUGUCAAUUAGCUGUUGGGCAACUUGAUUGCUUAGUAGCGUAGCUAACGCGUGAAAUUGACCGCCUGGGGAGUACGGUUGCAAGAUUA